AUCAACUUUCGAUGGUAGGAUAGAGGCCUACCAUGGUGGUAACGGGUAACGGGGUGUUAGGGCACGACACCGGAGAGGGAGCCUGAGAAACGGCUACCACAUCCAAGGAUGGCAGCAGGCGCGCAAAUUACCCAAUCCCGACACGGGGAGGUAGUGACAAUAAAUAACAAUACGGGGUUCUUUAGGAUUUCGUAAUUGGAAUGAGUACAAUUUAAAUCUCUUAACGAGGAACAAUUGGAGGGCAAGUCUGGUGCCAGCAGCCGCGGUAAUUCCAGCUCCAAUAGCGUAUAUUAAAGUUGUUGCAGUUAAAAAGCCCGUAGUUGAAUUUCGGGGUCAGUAGGUUGGUCAUGCCACUGGUAUGUACUGGUCUCACUGAUUCCUCCUUCCUGAUGAGCCGUAAUGCCAUUAAUUUGGUGUUGCGAGGAAUCUGGACUGUUACUUUGAAAAAAUUAGAGUGUUUAAAGCAGGCUAACGCUUGAAUACAUUAGCAUGGAAUAAUGAAAUAGGACGUUCGAUCUUAUUUUGUUGGUUUCUAAGAUUGACGUAAUGAUUAAUAGGGAUAGUUGGGGGCAUUAGUAUUCAAUUGUCAGAGGUGAAAUUCUUGGAUUUAUUGAAGACUAACUACUGCGAAAGCAUUUGCCAAGGAUGUUUUCAUUAAUCAAGAACGAAAGUUAGGGGAUCGAAGACGAUCAGAUACCGUCGUAGUCUUAACCAUAAACUAUGCCGACUAGGGAUCGGAUGAUGUUAAUUUUUUAAUGACUCAUUCGGCGCCUUACGGGAAACCAAAGUGUUUGGGUUC
Molecule: ribosomal RNA, 799 nt
Filed under: uncultured Rhizophagus
Lineage: Eukaryota; Fungi; Glomeromycota; Glomeromycetes; Glomerales; Glomeraceae
Description: SSU rRNA
Rfam family: Eukaryotic small subunit ribosomal RNA
Source: RNAcentral